GACGAACGCUGGCGGCGUGCUUAACACAUGCAAGUCGAACGGAAAGGCCCUGCUUGCAGGGUACUCGAGUGGCGAACGGUGAGUAACACGUGGGUGAUCUGCCCUGCACUUCGGGAUAAGCCUGGGAAACUGGGUCUAAUACCGGAUAGGAGCCAUUUUUAGUGUGAUGGUUGGAAAGUUUUUUCGGUGUAGGAUGAGCUCGCGGCCUAUCAGCUUGUUGGUGGGGUAAUGGCCUACCAAGGCGGCGACGGGUAGCCGGCCUGAGAGGGUGGACGGCCACAUUGGGACUGAGAUACGGCCCAGACUCCUACGGGAGGCAGCAGUGGGGAAUAUUGCACAAUGGGCGCAAGCCUGAUGCAGCGACGCCGCGU
This 371-nucleotide ribosomal RNA is filed under the name uncultured bacterium. Its description in RNAcentral is "bacterial SSU rRNA". It matches the Rfam family "Bacterial small subunit ribosomal RNA", at positions 28 to 402 of the family's 1533-position model. The record is from RNAcentral.